GCCGGGAUGGUGAAAUUGGUAGACACAAGGGACUUAAAAUCCCUCGGAAUUUAUUCUGUGCGAGUUCAAGUCUCGCUCCCGGUA
This 84-nucleotide transfer RNA is filed under the name Fidelibacterota bacterium. Its description in RNAcentral is "tRNA-Leu". It matches the Rfam family "tRNA". From Rfam's summary of the family: Transfer RNA (tRNA) molecules are approximately 80 nucleotides in length. Their secondary structure includes four short double-helical elements and three loops (D, anti-codon, and T loops). Lineage: Bacteria; Pseudomonadati; Fidelibacterota. The record is from RNAcentral.